This 503-nucleotide ribosomal RNA is filed under the name uncultured bacterium. RNAcentral's name for it is "partial 16S ribosomal RNA". It matches the Rfam family "Bacterial small subunit ribosomal RNA", at positions 30 to 523 of the family's 1533-position model. The record is from RNAcentral.
AUUGAACGCUGGCGGCAGGCUUAACACAUGCAAGUCGAGCGGAGUGAUGGUGCUUGCACUAUCACUUAGCGGCGGACGGGUGAGUAAUGCUUAGGAAUCUGCCUAUUAGUGGGGGACAACAUCUCGAUAGGGAUGCUAAUACCGCAUACGUCCUACGGGAGAAAGCAGGGGAUCACUUGUGACCUUGCGCUAAUAGAUGAGCCUAAGUCGGAUUAGCUAGUUGGUGGGGUAAAGGCCUACCAAGGCGACGAUCUGUAGCGGGUCUGAGAGGAUGGUCCGCCACACUGGGACUGAGACACGGCCCAGACUCCUACGGGAGGCAGCAGUGGGGAAUAUUGGACAAUGGGGGGAACCCUGAUCCAGCCAUGCCGCGUGUGUGAAGAAGGCCUUAUGGUUGUAAAGCACUUUAAGCGAGGAGGAGGCUCUUUUGGUUAAUACCCAAGAUGAGUGGACGUUACUCGCAGAAUAAGCACCGGCUAACUCUGUGCCAGCCGCCGCGGUAA